CGCAUCUGACGCGAUGCCGGGUCCGGCGAAAGCCGCGUACUCGCUCGCAGUGCGCUACCUUCCGGGCGGCGCGCGGUGCCCUUCACUGGGUGCCGCGCACACUAGCCUACCGGGACUUUUACCUUGAGAAAAUUAGAGUGUUCAAAGCAGGCCGUCGCGCCUGAAUACAUUAGCAUGGGAUAAUAGAAUAGGACCGCGGUUCUAUUUUGUUGGUUCACAGGACCGCAGUA
This 230-nucleotide ribosomal RNA is filed under the name uncultured fungus. RNAcentral's name for it is "partial small subunit ribosomal RNA". The stretch from base 108 to 230 matches the Rfam family "Eukaryotic small subunit ribosomal RNA", at positions 741 to 864 of the family's 1831-position model. Lineage: Eukaryota; Fungi. The record is from RNAcentral.